Molecule: ribosomal RNA, 497 nt
Filed under: uncultured bacterium
Lineage: Bacteria
Description: partial 16S ribosomal RNA
Rfam family: Bacterial small subunit ribosomal RNA
Source: RNAcentral
GAUGAACGCUGGCGGCGUGCCUAAUACAUGCAAGUCGAGCGAACAGACGAGGAGCUUGCUCCUCUGACGUUAGCGGCGGACGGGUGAGUAACACGUGGAUAACCUACCUAUAAGACUGGGAUAACUUCGGGAAACCGGAGCUAAUACCGGAUAAUAUAUUGAACCGCAUGGUUCAAUAGUGAAAGACGGUUUUGCUGUCACUUAUAGAUGGAUCCGCGCCGCAUUCGGUAGUUGGUAAGGUAACGGCUUACCAAGGCAACGAUGCGUAGCCGACCUGAGAGGGUGAUCGGCCACACUGGAACUGAGACACGGUCCAGACUCCUACGGGAGGCAGCAGUAGGGAAUCUUCCGCAAUGGGCGAAAGCCUGACGGAGCAACGCCGCGUGAGUGAUGAAGGUCUUCGGAUCGUAAAACUCUGUUAUUAGGGAAGAACAAAUGUGUAAGUAACUAUGCACGUCUUGACGGUACCUAAUCAGAAAGCCACGGCUAACUACGUG